Molecule: ribosomal RNA, 378 nt
Filed under: uncultured eukaryote
Lineage: Eukaryota
Description: partial 18S ribosomal RNA
Rfam family: Eukaryotic small subunit ribosomal RNA
Source: RNAcentral
CAAUAGCGUAUAUUUAAGUUGUUGCAGUUAAAAAGCUCGUAGUUGGAUUUCGGGUUGGCUUCAGCGGCCUCGCUUUGCGUUUGUACUGCUGCAGCCUACCUUCUUGUCGGGGACGGGCCUUCGGGCUUAAUUGCUUGGGGCCCGGAGUCGACGAUGUUACUUUGAGUAAAUUAGAGUGUUCAAAGCAAGCCUACGCUCUGAAUAUAAUAGCAUGGGAUAACACGACAGGACUCUGGCCUAUCGUGUUGGUCUGUAGGACCAGAGUAAUGAUUAAGAGGGACAGUCGGGGGCAUUCGUAUUCCGUUGUCAGAGGUGAAAUUCUUGGAUUUACGGAAGACGAACAUCUGCGAAAGCAUUUGCCAAGGAUGUUUUCAUUGA